AGAGAGAGACAUGCGUGCAUAUCAAUAAGCGGAGGAAAAGAAACUAACAAGGAUUCCCCUAGUAACGGCGAGUGAAGCGGGAAGAGCUCAAAUUUGAAAUCUUAAAGGGUUUCCCUUUACGAAUUGUAGUUUAAAGAAGUGUUUUCUGUUGAGGUUUUGGUAAAAGUUCUUUGGAAUAGGACAUCAUAGAGGGUGAGAAUCCCGUAUUUGACCUUUACUUUCAACUUUGUGAUACACUUUCAAAGAGUCGGAUUGUUUGGGAAUGCAGUCCAAAAUGGGUGGUAAAUUUCAUCUAAAGCUAAAUAUUGGCGAGAGACCGAUAGCGAACAAGUACCGUGAGGGAAAGAUGAAAAGAACUUUGAAAAGAGAGUUAAACAGUACGUGAAAUUGUCAAAAGGGAAGCGUUUGACACCAGUGUUGUUUUUCUGAAAAUCAAUUAAAGAACUGUUUAUGCUAAGCUGUUUAGACUUUAUCAGCUAACUGUUUAGUUUUGAGCUUUUCUUUAAUGCACUUUUCAGUUAACAAGUCAACAUCAAUUUCUUUUGCUGUAAAAAAGCUUGAGGAAGGUGGCUUGAGAUUCGUCUUAAGUGUUUAUAGCCUCUUGCCUAUGCAGUCGGAGAGAUUGAGGUCUGCAGCGUAGAUCCUUCGGGGCUAAAUGCAUUUGUGCUAAGUUAUAGCAUUUUAUAGACAACUUGUUGACUAUGAUUUGUCUUGUAGCUUACUCGCUUAUGUUAUUUUACCUACGCUUAGGAUGUUGAGCGCAUGUCUCUCUCU
This 774-nucleotide ribosomal RNA is filed under the name uncultured Neocallimastigales. RNAcentral describes it as "partial large subunit ribosomal RNA". It matches the Rfam family "Eukaryotic large subunit ribosomal RNA", at positions 23 to 616 of the family's 3401-position model. The record is from RNAcentral. Lineage: Eukaryota; Fungi; Neocallimastigomycota; Neocallimastigomycetes; Neocallimastigales.